Molecule: ribosomal RNA, 448 nt
Filed under: uncultured bacterium
Lineage: Bacteria
Description: bacterial SSU rRNA
Rfam family: Bacterial small subunit ribosomal RNA
Source: RNAcentral
CAGUGGGGAAUAUUGCACAAUGGGCGCAAGCCUGAUGCAGCCAUGCCGCGUGUAUGAAGAAGGCCUUCGGGUUGUAAAGUACUUUCAGCAGUGAGGAAGGUGGAUAUGUUAAUAGCAUAUUCAUUUGACGUUAGCUGCAGAAGAAGCACCGGCUAACUCCGUGCCAGCAGCCGCGGUAAUACGGAGGGUGCGAGCGUUAAUCGGAAUUACUGGGCGUAAAGCGCAUGCAGGUGGUUUGUUAAGUCAGAUGUGAAAGCCCGGGGCUCAACCUCGGAAUUGCAUUUGAAACUGGCAAACUAGAGUACUGUAGAGGGGGUAGAAUUUCAGGUGUAGCGGUGAAAUGCGUAGAGAUCUGAAGGAAUACCGGUGGCGAAGGCGGCCCCCUGGACAGAUACUGACACUCAGAUGCGAAAGCGUGGGGAGCAAACAGGAUUAGAUACCCUGGUAG